This 148-nucleotide unclassified non-coding RNA is filed under the name soil metagenome. RNAcentral's name for it is "partial internal transcribed spacer 1". The record is from RNAcentral.
CCGAGUUUACAACUCCCAAACUCCUGUGAACAUACCUAUACGUUGCCUCGGCGGAUCAGCCCGCGCCCCGUAAAAAGGGACGGCCCGCCCGAGGACCCCUAAACUCUGUUUUUAGUGGAACUUCUGAGUAAAACAAACAAAUAAAUCA